UUGCCCAUGUUAAGAUUACUCAUUCAUAAUGUGGCCAAUAUAGGGGGGUAUAAUAAACAGCUCCAUAAAACUCAAAGUAAGAUCUCUGUUUAUGCUUUGAAUCCUGUCUGGAGCAAUACUGUU
Leptobrachium leishanense (Leishan spiny toad) is the source of this 123-nucleotide small nucleolar RNA. The record is from Ensembl. NCBI's taxonomy places the organism in Eukaryota, Metazoa, Chordata, Amphibia, Anura, Megophryidae.